RNAcentral lists this ribosomal RNA (500 nucleotides) under Triticum aestivum (bread wheat). RNAcentral's name for it is "partial small subunit ribosomal RNA". The record is from RNAcentral. Lineage: Eukaryota; Viridiplantae; Streptophyta; Magnoliopsida; Poales; Poaceae.
GGGGGAGUUGUCCAUAUGGUGAAGAAGCAAGGGGGAGCUCAAAUCAUGUACCAUAAAAGAACAAUCACGAAGUAAACACAGAGAUAGAGAUGUUAGGGGAGUUGUGCUUACCUGGGGGUGGGGUUGGAUGCAUCUUGUCGUGGGCUUCAUGAAUCACCAGAUCCAGUGCCAGCCAUGCUUGGAGUCGUCGGAUCCGGCAACGACUCUCCUCGUUGACCCGUCGUGGUUGGUGCCCGUUGUGGUCGAACAACGCCGGAGCAGGUCUCCCCAAUGCCCACGACAGUGGAUCCUUCUUCCGCCGGCGUGAUCUGGCGUCUCUCCUCGCCGGCCUCGUGGCAUAGCCUCGCCGUCGCCGGUCUUGUGUAUGUCUAGCCGUGCUAGGUGCCGCGGAAGCCGUAUCCGGUGCCGGACGUUGGUGGAGAAGCCAGACUUGUGGUGGCAAUAGCUAGGAGCAACCGGCAACGACGACCAAUGACCAGCAGGAACAAUCGAGAGAGAGG